Molecule: ribosomal RNA, 228 nt
Filed under: uncultured Alicycliphilus sp.
Lineage: Bacteria; Pseudomonadati; Pseudomonadota; Betaproteobacteria; Burkholderiales; Comamonadaceae
Description: partial 16S ribosomal RNA
Rfam family: Bacterial small subunit ribosomal RNA
Source: RNAcentral
AGAGAUCAUUGGGUGUAAAGCGUGCGCAGGCGGUUUUGUAAGACAGAGGUGAAAUCCCCGGGCUCAACCUGGGAACUGCCUUUGUGACUGCAAGGCUGGAGUGCGGCAGAGGGGAUGGAAUUCCGCGUGUAGCAGUGAAAUGCGUAGAUAUGCGGAGGAACACCGAUGGCGAAGGCAAUCCCCUGGGCCUGCACUGACGCUCAUGCACGAAAGCGUGGGGAGCAAACA